UUCACUAUAGGCGUGCGGAUGUGCAGUGCAGCGCCGGACGUCAUCCCUCCUGUGUAACUUUAGUUUUGUACCCAUUGACCAGGCUCUUCUCUCCCCUCCCCUCUGCCCUCUCGGCUUCUGGAACCACCACUCUGUCUUCUGUGCUUUAUGAGAUCAGCAGUUCUAGAUUCCGCAGGUGAGUGAGCUCGUGUUGUUUGUAUUUCGGUGCCUUGGUUUAUUUCACUUGACGUGCAGUGCUCCAGGUUCAUCUGUGUUGUCCUUUAUGGUGGAAUAGUAUUUCAUCGUGUCUGCACGCCACGUUUUCGUUACCCACUCAUCUGUUGGUGGACCCUUCGUUUGGUUCCCUGUCUUGGUUUUCGUGAGAGGUGCUGCGGUGCAUCUGAGCACAGUUAUCGCUUCAACACGCUGAUUUCAUUUUCCUCGGGAAUGCCUUGUUGCAGGCAAACGUCAACUGCCAAGAAAACGAAGAUGGAUUGAAUGGUCCAGGAAGUGAGCCAAUGCUGGCCGGUGAAGGACAAAGCUGGCCCCCGCCGUCUGAGCCCCGUCUGCCUCUCCCCGCUGCUCCCCACCCUGGUGCCUGCAGAGAGAGACGUGUUUUCACAUGUGGCCAGUCUCCUAUUUAGUUCCUGCUUUCCUAAUUUUCCAUUUUUUCUCCCCACAAAAACCAUCAUCCCAAUCACUCUUGUCUCUCCUGACUAGCCGGGGGUUGGUAAUUGAGGCUGCACACAAACCCUUCUCUCUUGCAUCCGACUCACACAUCCAUCCGCAGGGCUGAGCGGUGGGAAACCAGGUAUUGGUCAGCAUGACAGCCUUGACUAGGAAGUGACUAGCAAGCCACGUCUGGAUUACUGCUGGCAAACUGUGCAAGACUGCUCUGUUCCAGGAAUAGGGAAGAUGAUGACCAUGAAACUUGGAAAAAUUGGUUUGGGGCAAAUGCUCUGCUACGCGAUGCAUUUUCCUGCUACAGAGAAAGGGGUGAACAGGAGAGGGAAAGGUAACCCACACGGCCUCUGGUUAAGAAAGCCGAAGUUUCUGAAAUCCCUGAAAGGUGUGUGUUCAGGAUCUGAACUCCACACACACGUGGUCGAUGUUUAAUUUCUGGAUUCAUUUCAGAAAUGCAAGAUUGAAAACAAAACUGCGUAGAAA
Molecule: non-coding RNA, 1146 nt
Organism: Oryctolagus cuniculus (rabbit)
Lineage: Eukaryota; Metazoa; Chordata; Mammalia; Lagomorpha; Leporidae
Source: RefSeq, a predicted model, not a curated record